UCCCUUCAAGAAAUUAUCAGUAUUAUUAUUAUUAUUAUUGUUAUUAUUAUUAUUAUUAUUAUUAUUAUUAUUAUUAUUAUUAUUAUAACUAUAAUUAUCACUAGUAAAAAGACAGGUGCGCUCAUCAGAUUAAUAUGACGUAACGUCAUUUCACUUCAGACUGGGUCACUCGCUUUAACGCUGUGCUUUAUUGUUAUCUUUUACGUACGACCGGAGAGUUUACGAGACGUUUCUGAAACGCCUUUAUGAUAAUCGUUAAGUUGGUCGUUAUUAUGAUCGUAAAUUUACGAUAAUGGCAGAUCGUAAAAUCUAUCUGAAACGCACCCAGCGUACUCUGCACAACCGAUAAUGAAAUGGUAAGGGCAGGUAACCCAGGCUACAACCCGGUGAGUACAUUAACAAAUCGUUACGACGCCGUUUUGACUAAAUUUUCAGGGGACGCAACCUAGCGCAAACUGUCAAAAUGUUCGUCGAAGAUAUGCUCUUAUUUCGAUGCAUUUCAAGAGUUUUUGUGUGAUAAAAACACUGGAAUUUUAGAGUGAAAUGCUAUCCAACCACCAGACUCAUGAUCUUGACAUGGAUCCAAGAUGCUGGUAACUAGGCGGAACUGAUUGUUUCACAGAACUGCGGGUUUCUGGAUGGAGACUCAUGGCCGUGUCACAAAAUACUUCAGAACCUAGAUUGAAAGUUACUGAAAGAGCAGUAGACUUUCCAUUCUCUACAAAAUUCAAAUUAACUGUUUUUUAAAGGUGUUACUUGAGACAACCAAAGACUUUUCAAGGACAGAAUUCACAAAACAGUUUAUGCCACCAUCUCAUAUCAAACGAUUGUGCUUAGUGUUGGGAAUCGGUUCCAAUUUUACUAUCGAUAAUCGGUUCCACUCAAGUAACCGAUUAUCUAUAGUACAAUCGUUUUUUUUAAAUACUAGAUAAAACCUAAAGUGAAGUUUUAUUCAUGCACAUUAUUAAACUCUUAAUCAUUAUAUGCAUAUACGUUAUGUCUAUGAUUAAAGUUAUUAAGUGUUAUAUAAAAAAUAGUUCAUUUUUACUUGCUCAUUGUGGCUUUCAUCAGCCAUUUUGUUAAAGAUAACAUCUGAACACUUACUUAUAUUUUUUUUCAUUUUUUUUUUCGAUGAUCGAUUAUAACCAAAUACAAUCGAUUGACGCCGAUUUCAGGCCCAACCAAUCGAUUUUCGAUUAUAAUCGAUCAUCGGAACAUCACUAAUUGUGCUUGAGUUGAACAGCCUUCAAACAGAAACUGUUUCAACACCAUCAAUGGAUUCAUUCAGUUUACUAUCGCUGUGAUAUGAGCAACUAUUUACAUCAUUUUAACAUUGUAAAUUGUUUAAACUUGAAAAUUCGGUCUUCAUGCAACUCACAUGAAUCUAUUUACUGUGGACUUUGAUGUUGACUCUAUUCAGGAAGAAGAGACCAUCUUUAUACAUGCUGGCAUAUCAUUUAAAAAGGAUCAAAUUUUAUAACCAACAUACUGCACUGUUAUGUCAUUCAAGGACUCAGCUACUGACUCCAUUUAUGAAUACUACAAAGGAAUGUCUCUGUCAAUGUAAUUACUGUUGAGCAUAAUAAGACAUUUUUUAUUGAAACUUGGCUCAUUUCUUACAUGUAGCUGUAACAUUUUGGGCAACUUCUCAAUUAUUUUGUUUAAGACAUUUUUCAUCCAGCUCACCUAAGCCUAAGUUAGUGUUCAUGUUAACUUUUGUGACUGCCUGUUUAUUGUACUUUUUAUAAAUUAUUUUCAAUGACUUUUCUCAAGAACCAUUUGGAUAGUAUGUCUCCUCCUGAAAUAGACUAAUUGUUUUAGCUCGAGUUGUCUGUCUGUCCAUCUGUAACAAAUUGUGUCUGCUCCAUGUCUCUUUAACCUUUUGAAGGAUUUGAUAUUACUUCCCACAAAUGUACACCAUAUUGAGAGGAAGGGUUUAUUAUUUAUAACUGUUGAGCAGUUUCUGAACUUGACUGUAUUAUAUCUUGCAUUUACAUCAAGCUGUUAAGUGAACAAUAUAACAUUGACCAAUACAAGGAACUAAACCUUCUUUGUCACCAUUUUGGAAUAAAGUAAUACUUAAAGCUCAUAUUUCCAUAAGAAUCUGCUCAUAUACAGUUUAAAUAGCUUAUACAAGUAUAUCAUUUCAACAUAACAUCAGAUCCACCACUGUUUUAUGUUUUUUUUUUAAACUUUGAUAUAUAUAUCAUGACUUUUAUAAACAAAUACCAAACAGCAACUUACAGAUCUAUACUCAUUUGGGCAAAAUUUGCAAAUCUAAGCCUUUUCAUUUGAUAUUCAAUGUUUUGGCAAAUUGGGGCAUUUUCUGUCACAUUAAAAUCAAUAUUAACAAUAAAUCUCCAACUUUAAUAUUAUCAUAUUUUUGUGUCCAUUCUUUGCCAAUUAUUUGUUUGUCUAUUGGUAUACAUGUAUUUUUAUUCAUACUGUUUGUCAAAAUAAAGAAUGAAUAAAAUGUUUGAAAUAUU
Molecule: long non-coding RNA, 2486 nt
Organism: Mya arenaria
Lineage: Eukaryota; Metazoa; Mollusca; Bivalvia; Myida; Myidae
Exons: 3
Source: RefSeq, a predicted model, not a curated record